RNAcentral lists this ribosomal RNA (1233 nucleotides) under Triticum aestivum (bread wheat). Its description in RNAcentral is "partial small subunit ribosomal RNA". Lineage: Eukaryota; Viridiplantae; Streptophyta; Magnoliopsida; Poales; Poaceae. The record is from RNAcentral.
AUGAUAACUGUGAAGCAUAUGAAGGAUGGCAAAUACUCAGUAUCACAUUUUCAUGAAGAACACACCCAUGAUUUUGUCACACCUAGGAAGCAACAUUUAAUCAAGUCUAACAGAAAAGUCAGUGAGAAGGCCAAGGGCACACUAUUCAGAUGUCACGCAGCUAGCAUUGGUACAUCAGGGGCGUUUCGGUUGCUUCGUGUUGGUGAGGGUGGAUUUGAGUUCGUGGGGUGCACAAAAAGAGACCUGCAAAAUUAUCAUCGUGACAUGAGAAGUACUUUCAAGGAUUCAGAUGCUCAAAUGUUCAUUGACAACCUCAGGAAGAGGAAGAAAAUCAACCCGGGGUUCUUCUUCGAGUAUGUUCUUGAUGAUAAAAACUGUCUGACACAUGUAUUUUGGGCUGAUGCUUUUUGUAGAAAGAAUUAUGCUUUGUUUGGAGAAAUGGUGUCCUUCGACUCUACAUAUAGCACCAACCAGUACAACAUGAUUUUUUGCCCAUUCACAGGAAUAAACCACCACAUGGGAUCUGUUUUUUAUGGUGCCGCCUUGAUUGCAGAUGAGAAGAUAGAGUCAUAUGAAUGGGUAUUUCAAACGUUCUUGAAAGCAAUGGAUGGGGCAGCACCAAGGCUUAUAGUAACUGAUGAAGACCAAAGCAUGAAGGUUGCAAUUGAACAGAUAAUGCCAAACACUAUCCAUAGGUUAUACAUGUGGCACAUAAUGAGAAAGCUUCCAGAAAAGGUUGGCCCUCCAUUGAGAGAGGAUGAACAUUUCUAUAGUACAAUUAACUCAUGUGUAUGGGGCUCUGAAAACCCAGCUGAAUUUGAGGCAAAAUGGUCUUCAUUGAUUUCUGAAUUUGGGCUUGAGGAAAACACAUGGUUUGCCAGGAGAUACGAACUUCGUGAAUCAUGGAUACCAGCCUACUUCAGAGGUGUGUUUUUGGGUGAGACACUAAGAACCACUUCAAGGUCAGAGAGUGCUAACUCACCUUUCAAUCACUUUAUUGGCUACAAACAUGCUUUGGUGGAGUUUUGGAUUAGGAUUGGUACAGCCCUAGAAGAACAACGUCAGAAUGAACUCAAGGCUGACCAUGAGUGCCUCAAUUCUAUGCCUCCAUUGAUUACAUCUUGGGAGAUUGAGAAGCAUACUAGUCUGGUCUUCACCGAUGAGGUUUUCAAAUAUCUUCAAAAGGAGGUGCGUGCAGCAAGAGAUCAUUGCUUGAUUGAAAUCAUAUCAUAG